GUGCUUCUUGAUCGGAAUCCAUCGACGUGAUCGCGUACUUCUCAAUUGGAGUUCGAUCUGUUUCGGCCGAGUCAUCAUCUUCCUCAACGAGAGCCUCCGGCAACGUCGAGCAUCAUGUAGUCGAGGACUAGGGGUCUUCAUCAAGGCGGCGGCAGACGAAACCAACGCCUUCGUUAGAGAUCUCACCUCCGUCAAGACUUUGACGUCGGCGGCAUUUUCAAAGCGGCGGUGUCUUUCGACGAAGAGAGAGAGAGAAGGACUUCCUUCUUUUUGGGGCUGGAAGGCUGUUCUAGCUAGACGAACGCGACUGUAGCUUCCUAUCAAAACCAAAGCCAUACACAGGAAGCAAAACCUCAAUCAGUUACUAAUUCCGAUGCCGGCAAAGCUAGGAGAACCAAAAUCCAGAGGGAAAAGGACUUACUCGGAGCGAUUUGACGACGGAGUCCUUGUUAGGGCGGGUUUGACAGCGGAGCUGGUUGCCGAUUUGGUGACGAGUUGUCUGUGUGUGAUUGUGGACGAGAGAGAGAGAGAGAGAGAGAGAGAGAGAGAGAGAGAGAGAGAGAGAGAGAGAGAGAGAGUGUGUGUGUGUGUGAGAUUAUGGACGAGGGAGUUGAUUGUGGAUGAGAGAGUAAGGAGGGUAUUUUAGGUAUACUACAAUACUGGAGUUGGUGGAUUUAGACUUAUAAGUGGACUUAUAUGGGUAAAAAAUUUAAGGUGGACUUAUGUAGAAGAAAAUGUCUCAAGGUAGACUUAUAUGAAAUUUUCUAUAAUAGUAAUAUGUCAUCUGAACUAGUUUUUAGUUUUAACAAAUAUAUUAGUUUUUUUUUUUUAAUACGAUUACAAUCGUACAUAAGUGCAUCCCGUAUGAGUUCUGGAGCCGAGUAAAGCCACUCAAGAUUGACAGUUAACUCAAAACUAUGACUAGCAAAUCUGUGCUACCAUAUUAGUCUGUCGAUG
This 957-nucleotide long non-coding RNA is filed under the name Fragaria vesca (wild strawberry). Its description in RNAcentral is "long non-coding RNA (FVES_LNC003041)". The record is from RNAcentral. Lineage: Eukaryota; Viridiplantae; Streptophyta; Magnoliopsida; Rosales; Rosaceae.